RNAcentral lists this ribosomal RNA (465 nucleotides) under Vreelandella stevensii. RNAcentral describes it as "partial 16S ribosomal RNA". It matches the Rfam family "Bacterial small subunit ribosomal RNA", at positions 338 to 795 of the family's 1533-position model. Lineage: Bacteria; Pseudomonadati; Pseudomonadota; Gammaproteobacteria; Oceanospirillales; Halomonadaceae. The record is from RNAcentral.
CCUACGGGUGGCUGCAGUGGGGAAUAUUGGACAAUGGGCGAAAGCCUGAUCCAGCCAUGCCGCGUGUGUGAAGAAGGCCUUCGGGUUGUAAAGCACUUUCAGUGGGGAAGAAAGCCUUGGGGCUAAUACCCUCGAGGAAGGACAUCACCCACAGAAGAAGCACCGGCUAACUCCGUGCCAGCAGCCGCGGUAAUACGGAGGGUGCGAGCGUUAAUCGGAAUUACUUGGCGUAAAUCGCGCGUAGGCGGUCUGAUAAGCCGGUUGUGAAAGCCCCGGGCUCAACCUGGGAACGGCAUCCGGAACUGUCAGGCUAGAGUGCAGGAGAGGAAGGUAGAAUUCCCGGUGUAGCGGUGAAAUGCGUAGAGAUCGGGAGGAAUACCAGUGGCGAAGGCGGCCUUCUGGACUGACACUGACGCUGAGGUGCGAAAGCGUGGGUAGCAAACAGGAUUAGAUACCCCAGUAGUC